AUGCAAGUCGAGCGGUAACAGGUGUAGCAAUACAUGCUGACGAGCGGCGAACGGGUGAGUAAUGCUUCGGAAUCUGCCCAAUGGUGGGGAAUAACCAGCCGAAAGGUUGGCUAAUACCGCAUGAGCCCUACGGGGGAAAGCGGGGGAUCGUAAGACCUCGCGCCGAUGGAUGAGCCGAAGCCGGAUUAGCUAGUUGGUAGGGUAACGGCCUACCAAGGCGACGAUCCGUAGCUGGUCUGAGAGGACGACCAGCCACACUGGGACUGAGACACGGCCCAGACUCCUACGGGAGGCAGCAGUGGGGAAUAUUGGACAAUGGGGGAAACCCUGAUCCAGCGACGCCGCGUGUGUGAAGAAGGCCUGCGGGUUGUAAAGCACUUUUAGUGGGGAUGAAAAGCUCAGGGCUAAUACCUCUGGGUCUUGACCUAACCCAAAGAAAAAGCACCGGCUAACUCUGUGCCAGCAGCCGCGGUAAUACAGA
RNAcentral lists this ribosomal RNA (481 nucleotides) under uncultured bacterium. Its description in RNAcentral is "bacterial SSU rRNA". It matches the Rfam family "Bacterial small subunit ribosomal RNA", at positions 55 to 529 of the family's 1533-position model. The record is from RNAcentral.